CAGCAGCCACGGUAAUACGUAGGGUGCAAGCGUUAAUCGGAAUUACUGGGCGUAAAGCGUGCGCAGGCGGUUAUAUAAGACAGAUGUGAAAUCCCCGGGCUCAACCUGGGAACUGCAUUUGUGACUGUAUAGCUAGAGUACGGCAGAGGGGGAUGGAAUUCCGCGUGUAGCAGUGAAAUGCGUAGAUAUGCGGAGGAACACCGAUGGCGAAGGCAAUCCCCUGGGCCUGUACUGACGCUCAUGCACGAAAGCGUGGGGAGCAAACAGGAUUAGAUACCCCUGUAGUCCCUGUCUCUUAUAC
Molecule: ribosomal RNA, 301 nt
Filed under: uncultured bacterium
Lineage: Bacteria
Description: partial 16S ribosomal RNA
Rfam family: Bacterial small subunit ribosomal RNA
Source: RNAcentral